AACGCGAAGAACCUUACCUACCCUUGACAUGGCUGGAAUCCUUGAGAGAUCAGGGAGUGCUCGAAAGAGAACCAGUACACAGGUGCUGCAUGGCUGUUGUCAGCUCGUGUCGUGAGAUGUUGGGUUAAGUCCCGCAACGAGCGCAACCCUUGUCAUUAGUUGCUACGAAAGGGCACUCUAAUGAGACUGCCGGUGACAAACCGGAGGAAGGUGGGGAUGACGUCAAGUCCUCAUGGCCCUUAUGGGUAGGGCUUCACACGUCAUACAAUGGUACAUACAGAGCGCCGCCAACCCGCGAGGGGGAGCUAAUCGCAGAAAGUGUAUCGUAGUCCGGAUUGUAGUCUGCAACUCGACUGCAUGAAGUUGGAAUCGCUAGUAAUCGCGGAUCAGCAUGUCGCGGUGAAUACGUUCCCGGGUCUUGUACACACCG
Molecule: ribosomal RNA, 430 nt
Filed under: uncultured bacterium
Lineage: Bacteria
Description: bacterial SSU rRNA
Rfam family: Bacterial small subunit ribosomal RNA
Source: RNAcentral